AUGUGUCUGGCCAACAAGGGCUUCCCCUCAGACUGGAGUCUGUCCUGGAAGGUGGACGGCAGCAGCAGCAGCAUCAGCUGGGAGGAGAGCAGGAACCCCGGGGUGCUGCAGGAGGACGGCCUCUACAGCUGGAGCAGCACCCUGAGGCUCCCUGCAGACCAGUGGAGGAAGGUGGGCUCUGUGAGCUGUGAGGCCACCCAGGGCUCCCAGACUCCACUCUCAGAGACACUGAGGAGAGACCAGUGUUCCCAGUCCUGACCUCAGCCACUGGGAACAUCACACUGGUUCUGUUCUGAUACUGUUCUCUGUUUGCUCUCUGAAACUCUCUCUCUUUCUAAGCUUAUCCUUAUUCUGAUG
Non-coding RNA from Acanthochromis polyacanthus (spiny chromis), 357 nucleotides. NCBI's taxonomy places the organism in Eukaryota, Metazoa, Chordata, Actinopteri, Pomacentridae. The record is from the annotation of a RefSeq genome assembly.